Non-coding RNA from Pelobates cultripes (western spadefoot toad), 1477 nucleotides. NCBI's taxonomy places the organism in Eukaryota, Metazoa, Chordata, Amphibia, Anura, Pelobatidae. The record is from the annotation of a GenBank genome assembly.
CAACAAAAAUACAUUUACAUAAUAAAAAUCAGUACAUUUAUUCCAUGCUAAGUAUACACUGUUACCUGUUUUUUCCCCAAGUGAUAUUUCCCUUGCACAAUUGUAUUCACUAUUUUUCGCAUUAGUUCAGUACUAUUCAUUACAUUUGCUUUUUAUUGGUUAAGCACAAAUUAUAAAAGCACAAAAUGUUAACUAAAGUGACUUUUUUUUCUGCACACAGCUAAUCUUUACUAUGUUUUUUUAUUUUUAUAAAUGCAUGUCUUCAAGUUUAGGUAUGUUUUAAGAUUGUGUUAUGUUUAAUAUGUUUAAUAUGAGGACUUGUUUGUGCCAUUAUAAUACAAUACUGGAGAAUGGCAUCAACUCGUACUAUCAAGUAAAAACAACUAUGUAUAACAGUGUGCAUUUGUCAACGCAUGUAUUAUUAUUAUUAUAAGUUUAUAAUUAGUUGUGGUUAUAGUUAACUUUUAUUUAUUUUUUUCAUUUUCUCAUCUUUUAGUCAGACUGGGAAAAGUCUACCAAAAACUCUUCUGAGCAGUCAAAGACCACCUCUUAUUCAGCCACCUUGGGAAUCUUCUGCAUUAUCAAUAUAAAUACCCAUACAAAUUCUGUCUAAUCCGGAUGGUAAAGUUUGGCUUAGAGUAGUGGCUUAGCUCACCCUCAGGGCUCUGAGCUGUAGUGAUUAUGGUUUAAGUGCCCAGGAUUAGACAAGCAGAUGGAGGAAUCCUAUUUUACUGCAGUGCCAUUUGCACAAUGCUACAUUCAGGACCAGCCUUGUAAAAUGUUCUCACGACUUGUUGUCAAACUUGCUCAAUUGUACUCUAAAGGAGUAAAAACAUGUUAACUGGAGUGAUGACUCAUUCUUUAACAUCAUGCAAUAUGCUGGGUCUGAUGGGUGUCAUGAGAAAGUUUUUUGGAUUAUGUUACAUCGUCUUGGUAAGACCUGACUCUGAACUCAUUGAGCCUGUCUAGUUUCGAUUAUGGCCUGCAAACAAUUAAUUGUCAGAUAAUGGACUUAAUUCUAACUAAAGCUCUAAGGGCUGUAUGGAAGCAAAACUUCUUGUGAAAACGUUAUACUCCACAAAAUUAUUUUUCUUUCUUUCUUUCUUUCUAUCUGUCUGUCUGUCUAUUCAAUAUUGUGUGAGCUGUACAAGUUUGGUUGUGAUUUGUAUUUAAAGCAAGAUGAAUACAAAACUGCUUGUGCAAAAAAGGUGAAAUUGCACACCAAUUAAACAUGUUUGAUGCACAGAAACAUAGACACAUGUUUUAAGUCACUUUUUUUUUUUUAAGUCUGCUGAUUGUAUAGUCCGUGGAUUAUCUUUAGAAAUUGUGGAAUCAAUCUGGAAAUAUUAUUUUUUUAGAGUUAGAAUUUUUUUACACAGCAAAUAAUAACGAAUAGUCAAACAUACUAUUCGGGGAAGGAAAGGGCAGGGGAACUUGGAAAUAGGAAAGGGGGAUCCAUUCUUAUUAGUAAACAUAU